Molecule: ribosomal RNA, 846 nt
Filed under: Phomatodes nebulosa
Lineage: Eukaryota; Fungi; Ascomycota; Dothideomycetes; Pleosporales; Didymellaceae
Description: partial large subunit ribosomal RNA
Rfam family: Eukaryotic large subunit ribosomal RNA
Source: RNAcentral
AUUGCCCUAGUAACGGCGAGUGAAGCGGCAACAGCUCAAAUUUGAAAUCUGGCGUCUUUGGCGUCCGAGUUGUAAUUUGCAGAGGGCGCUUUGGCAUUGGCAGCGGUCCAAGUUCCUUGGAACAGGACGUCACAGAGGGUGAGAAUCCCGUACGUGGUCGCUAGCCUUUACCGUGUAAAGCCCCUUCGACGAGUCGAGUUGUUUGGGAAUGCAGCUCUAAAUGGGAGGUAAAUUUCUUCUAAAGCUAAAUACUGGCCAGAGACCGAUAGCGCACAAGUAGAGUGAUCGAAAGAUGAAAAGCACUUUGGAAAGAGAGUUAAAAAGCACGUGAAAUUGUUGAAAGGGAAGCGCUUGCAGCCAGACUUGCCUGUAGUUGCUCAUCCGGGUUUUUACCCGGUGCACUCUUCUAUAGGCAGGCCAGCAUCAGUUUGGGCGGUUGGAUAAAGGUCUCUGUCAUGUACCUCUCUUCGGGGAGAACUUAUAGGGGAGACGACAUGCAACCAGCCUGGACUGAGGUCCGCGCAUCUGCUAGGAUGCUGGCGUAAUGGCUGUAAGCGGCCCGUCUUGAAACACGGACCAAGGAGUCUAACAUCUAUGCGAGUGUUUGGGUGUCAAGCCCGAACGCGUAAUGAAAGUGAACGGAGGUGGGAACCUUUCGGGGUGCACCAUCGACCGAUCCUGAUGUCUUCGGAUGGAUUUGAGUAAGAGCAUAGCUGUUGGGACCCGAAAGAUGGUGAACUAUGCUUGAAUAGGGUGAAGCCAGAGGAAACUCUGGUGGAGGCUCGCAGCGGUUCUGACGUGCAAAUCGAUCGUCAAAUUUGGGCAUAGGGGCGAAAGACUAAUCGA